CCUACGGGAGGCAGCAGUGAGGAAUAUUGGUCAAUGGGCGCGAGCCUGAACCAGCCAAGUCGCGUGAAGGAUGACUGCCCUACGGGUUGUAAACUUCUUUUAUAAAGGAAUACAGUGAGGCUCGUGUGCCUUUUUGUAUGUACUUUAUGAAUAAGGAUCGGCUAACUCCGUGCCAGCAGCCGCGGUAAUACGGAGGAUCCGAGCGUUAUCCGGAUUUAUUGGGGUUAAAGGGAGCGUAGAUGGGUUGUUAAGUCAGUUGGGAAAGUUUGGGGCUCAACCGUAAAAUUGCAAUGGAUACUGGCAGUCUUGAGUGCAGUUGAGGUAGGCGGAAUUCGUGGUGUAGCGGUGAAAUGCUUAGAUAUCACGAAGAACUCCGAUGGCGAAGGCAGCUUACUAAACUGCCACUGACAUUGAGGCACGAAAGUGUGGGUAUCAAACAGGAUUAGAUACCCCAGUAGUC
RNAcentral lists this ribosomal RNA (460 nucleotides) under uncultured bacterium. RNAcentral describes it as "partial 16S ribosomal RNA". It matches the Rfam family "Bacterial small subunit ribosomal RNA", at positions 338 to 795 of the family's 1533-position model. The record is from RNAcentral.